This 1343-nucleotide ribosomal RNA is filed under the name uncultured bacterium. Its description in RNAcentral is "16S ribosomal RNA". It matches the Rfam family "Bacterial small subunit ribosomal RNA", at positions 28 to 1378 of the family's 1533-position model. The record is from RNAcentral.
GACGAACGCUGGCGGCGUGCUUAACACAUGCAAGUCGAACGGAAAGGCCCUGCUUUUGUGGGGUGCUCGAGUGGCGAACGGGUGAGUAACACGUGAGUAACCUGCCCUUGACUUUGGGAUAACUUCAGGAAACUGGGGCUAAUACCGGAUAGGAGCUCCUGCUGCAUGGUGGGGGUUGGAAAGUUUCGGCGGUUGGGGAUGGACUCGCGGCUUAUCAGCUUGUUGGUGGGGUAGUGGCUUACCAAGGCUUUGACGGGUAGCCGGCCUGAGAGGGUGACCGGCCACAUUGGGACUGAGAUACGGCCCAGACUCCUACGGGAGGCAGCAGUGGGGAAUAUUGCACAAUGGGCGGAAGCCUGAUGCAGCAACGCCGCGUGCGGGAUGACGGCCUUCGGGUUGUAAACCGCUUUCGCCUGUGACGAGGCGUGAGUGACGGUAAUGGGUAAAGAAGCACCGGCUAACUACGUGCCAGCAGCCGCGGUGAUACGUAGGGUGCGAGCGUUGUCCGGAUUUAUUGGGCGUAAAGGGCUCGUAGGUGGUUGAUCGCGUCGGAAGUGUAAUCUUGGGGCUUAACCCUGAGCGUGCUUUCGAUACGGGUUGACUUGAGGAAGGUAGGGGAGAAUGGAAUUCCUGGUGGAGCGGUGGAAUGCGCAGAUAUCAGGAGGAACACCAGUGGCGAAGGCGGUUCUCUGGGCCUUUCCUGACGCUGAGGAGCGAAAGCGUGGGGAGCGAACAGGCUUAGAUACCCUGGUAGUCCACGCUGUAAACGGUAGGUACUAGGUGUGGGGUCCAUUCCACGGGUUCCGUGCCGUAGCUAACGCUUUAAGUACCCCGCCUGGGGAGUACGGCCGCAAGGCUAAAACUCAAAGGAAUUGACGGGGCCCCGCACAAGCGGCGGAGCAUGCGGAUUAAUUCGAUGCAACGCGUAGAACCUUACCUGGGUUUGACAUGGAUCGGGAGCGCUCAGAGAUGGGUGUGCCUCUUUUGGGGUCGGUUCACAGGUGGUGCAUGGCUGUCGUCAGCUCGUGUCGUGAGAUGUUGGGUUAAGUCCCGCAACGAGCGCAACCCUUGUUCACUGUUGCCAGCACGUUAUGGUGGGGACUCAGUGGAGACCGCCGGGGUCAACUCGGAGGAAGGUGGGGAUGACGUCAAGUCAUCAUGCCCCUUAUGUCCAGGGCUUCACGCAUGCUACAAUGGCUGGUACAGAGAGUGGCGAGCCUGUGAGGGUGAGCGAAUCUCGGAAAGCCGGUCUCAGUUCGGAUUGGGGUCUGCAACUCGACCUCAUGAAGUCGGAGUCGCUAGUAAUCGCAGAUCAGCAACGCUGCGGUGAAUACGUUCCCGGG